Molecule: long non-coding RNA, 559 nt
Organism: Mirounga angustirostris (Northern elephant seal)
Lineage: Eukaryota; Metazoa; Chordata; Mammalia; Carnivora; Phocidae
Exons: 3
Source: RefSeq, a predicted model, not a curated record
CGGCUCCAGAGGGCGUUAGAAUCUUCCCCAGCAUCAGGAAGAAGGAGGGUCAAGUUGCCAAAAACCUACCACGUGGGAGGGGCAGACCGCACUUGGAGAACUGCGACAUUCGGGUUCCUCUCCUUGGUAUCCCCAGUGGCCUUCACUAAAGGUUUAAUGAAGUCUGAGACACUUUUAAUGCUCCUACAAAAAGUGGAUACGUCGGAAAGAUCCUAUCGUAAGAGAUGCAUCACACUAUGGAAUAUGAAUCAGCUACUCAGAUUUAUACUUGCAGAGUGCCAAGAACUUCCCGGAUUGUGCUCCAACAAGUGGAAUUCACACUAAUUCUGAGACUGGUGCUCCUAGAAGUUGUGCAGAGGGCAGCCCUGACAGAAAGCUCAAGCUCAUGCCUCUUUUUUCAUUUUUAUAUUUUAUUAUUAUGUAUUUUUAUUAGCCACCUCCAAUUUUGAAUGCAAAUAGUUGGGCUACAAAUGUAAACAAACUCUUAAAGAAUGUGGAUCACUACAUCAAAAAACUAAUGAUGUAUUGGUGACUAACAUAACAUAACAAAAUUAAAUUA